CACUCCUGGUAAAAUCUUUGAUUUAACAUCAUCAAGAACAUUCUGCAAUCCCUCAGGUUGAUUUGGCGCAGAAUCUGGCAGAAGUUUCUGAAGAUACCCAGGCUCAACUUGGCUUAGAACUGGAAAAUUCUCAAUAGUUUUGUAGUAAUCAGCAAUAAAAUCAACCAUCUUAUGUGCAUGCUCUCUCAGUUGCUCUGCGUCCAUUGGUCUCAACUCCCUUUCCAUAUUUUGCACAUAAAUGGGAGCAAAGGACUGAUUGUUUUAGCGAAGAGAAGUGGGUAUUGCGUUGCUUAAAAGGGUUUUAACAGAGAAAACAAAGUCUUUGGUAUAUAUGAGAAUGAAGGAGAA
RNAcentral lists this unclassified non-coding RNA (348 nucleotides) under Hevea brasiliensis (rubber tree). Lineage: Eukaryota; Viridiplantae; Streptophyta; Magnoliopsida; Malpighiales; Euphorbiaceae. The record is from RNAcentral.